GUCAAACAAAAGUCGCCGCACGAGCAAGUGGUGGAGAAAUCUUGUCGCUGGGAAAACCCGGAAUUCCGGGAGGAAAACGCAACCGAGGGGCUUCAGUUCGCACCAGCAGCUAGCGAAGAUUCAUCCAGACGCACUCUAAGCCACGUUGCUUGCUGAGCGGUUAAGCUGAAGAGGAACCGAGAUUGGAGUCGUCCAGACGGAACUUCAAAGCAACAAACGGGCAAAAAUAAUCGUGGGCCGCACAGACGGCCUUUUUUUUUGACACCCUUGAUUCUCCUCAUUUGUCGCUUGCGGAGCGCCUUUUCCGUGCCAUCAACCACGGUGACAUUGCGGAUAAUUCCACCAGUACCCCCUCACUGUUUUGUUGGUGUUUCGGGGACAAGUUCCUUCUUCGGCCGGAGCGGAAUUGAUCCUCAGUGAAACUUGAACAAUCAGAUCGACAAUUGGAGGGGAACUGCUAAAGAGGGUCCGGAUCAGCAGUAGCGUGGCAUCAAAGUUUUCAUUCUCCAUCCGGUGUGGGACAGAUCGGCUUUGACCAACUAGCCAUCAAGUUCCCGCCCGAUGAUUCAUCCGGAGAUGAAUGGGUCGGCUGCAAGGCAAGGUAAAGGUGCUCAUCGAUUUCCGUGGCGCAGAUGCCGGGACGGCAACAGCAGUUCCAAGGGCUGGAUUUCAUCUUUAGCAGCUCCAGCGGUGCGCGAAGGCAGUGUCCCGCGAAAAUCCAUAUCAGUGACGUCAGAAAAAUCAGGGAGGAGAGUGGCACAGUCAUGCAGGUGGCACUAUCG
This is a long non-coding RNA of Uranotaenia lowii, 782 nucleotides long. RefSeq lists it as uncharacterized. The transcript is spliced from 3 exons. The record is from RefSeq and is a predicted model, not a curated record. Lineage: Eukaryota; Metazoa; Arthropoda; Insecta; Diptera; Culicidae.